RNAcentral lists this long non-coding RNA (1007 nucleotides) under Homo sapiens (human). RNAcentral's name for it is "EPM2A divergent transcript". Lineage: Eukaryota; Metazoa; Chordata; Mammalia; Primates; Hominidae. The record is from RNAcentral.
AGGGUCUGGAGAGAGCUCCCACUGUGGCGAGUCCUGUCGUUGGAUUCCCGCGGCGCCCCGUAAGGCUCCGCCCCGGCGGUGCUACCAAACCCUGUUCGAUUUUAGAAUCGUACAUUCCCAGAGGGAAUCCUAGACCCCUCAUUUUACAGUUGAGGAAACAGGCCCAAGUAGCAUGACUUGUUCGCGCCGCUAGUCGAAGGAGCAGCAGCCCCGAUCCCUUGACUCUGGGGCACUGCUUUCCCUUUAGCUCAUUUUUGGAGGAAAUGGGUGCGCCCUUGCUCGACCUUUGGUGAUUGCCGCCACAGGCCUUCCCGCCGGCUAACUCAGCGUGCCCAAGUCCCGUGACUUAGUGCCAGGACGGUGCUGUGACCCGUUAUCCCCUGUCGGGUUUUACCUCCCCCCGGGAGAGCUCAGCCCUGGAUCCCGGCGGGCGGCGGAGCCUCUCUGGAGCCCGGACGGGACAGCCCACCAGGGUCUGCUUCUGUGAGGGGCCGAGGCGUCAUUCCGCGAAGCCUUCUCCUUGCUGUUGCCAUGUGAAGAAGGAUGUGUUUGCUUCCCCUUCUGCCAUGAUUGUAAGUUUUCUGAAGCCUCUCCAGCCAUGCCAAACUAAUCGAGUUCUGUUUUUACAAAAUCAUUGCACAUUAGAAAAUGUUACAUUAGGUAAAAUUUCAAACAUUUAAAAGUAGAGAGAGUAGCAUGCUAAGCAUUCCUGUACCAUUACCCAGCUUCAAUAAUUAUAACCUCGUGGAUAAUCUUGCUUCAUCAGCACUCCUUGCUCUGCCCAUCUAGAUUACAUAGAAGCCAAUUCCAGGCAUCAUAUCAUUUCCUUAUGUAUCUCUAGAAGGUAUAAACUAUUUAUGUAAAUAUACCAGUAAUACUAUCACAACACCUUGAAAAUAAUAAUUCAUUAUUAUAAAACAGGUCAGUGUUCAAAAACUUCCAAUUGUCUUGUAAAAUUUUUUUAACAUUUUAAAAUCAGAAACAAAAUUAAAUCAAUGUACAACCAA